GAUGAGCGCUGACAGAAUGCUUAACACAUGCAAGUCUACUUGAUCCUUCGGGUGAUGGUGGCGGACGGGUGAGUAACGCGUAAAGAACUUGCCCUGCAGUCUGGGACAACAUUUGGAAACGAAUGCUAAUACCGGAUAUUAUGCGAGAUUCGCAUGUUUCUCGUAUGAAAGCUAUAUGCGCUGCAGGAGAGCUUUGCGUCCUAUUAGCUAGUUGGUGAGGUAACGGCUCACCAAGGCGAUGAUAGGUAGCCGGCCUGAGAGGGUGAACGGCCACAAGGGGACUGAGACACGGCCCUUACUCCUACGGGAGGCAGCAGUGGGGAAUAUUGGACAAUGGACCAAAAGUCUGAUCCAGCAAUUCUGUGUGCACGAUGAAGUUUUUCGGAAUGUAAAGUGCUUUCAGUUGGGACGAAGUAAGUGACGGUACCAACAGAAGAAGCGACGGCUAAAUACGUGCCAGCAGCCGCGGUAAUACGUAUGUCGCAAGCGUUAUCCGGAUUUAUUGGGCGUAAAGCGCGUCUAGGCGGUUUGGUAAGUCUGAUGUGAAAAUGCGGGGCUCAACUCCGUAUUGCGUUGGAAACUGUCAAACUAGAGUACUGGAGAGGUGGGCGGAACUACAAGUGUAGAGGUGAAAUUCGUAGAUAUUUGUAGGAAUGCCGAUGGGGAAGCCAGCCCACUGGACAGAUACUGACGCUAAAGCGCGAAAGCGUGGGGUAGCAAACAGGAUUAGAUACCCUGGUAGUCCACGCCGUAAACGAUGAUUACUAGGUGUUGGGGGUCGAACCUCAGCGCCCAAGCUAACGCGAUAAGUAAUCCGCCUGGGGAGUACGUACGCAAGUAUGAAACUCAAAGGAAAUUGACGGGGACCCGCACAAGCGGUGGAGCAUGUGGUUUAAUUCGACGCAACGCGAGGAACCUUACCAGCGUUUGGACAUCCUAGGAAGUUGGCAGAGAUGCCUUCGUGCCCCUUCGGGGGAACCUAGUGACAGGUGGUGCAUGGCUGUCGUCAGCUCGUGUCGUGAGAUGUUGGGUUAAGUCCCGCAACGAGCGCAACCCCUUUCGUAUGUUGCCAUCAUUAAGUUGGGAACUCAUGCGAUACUGCCUGCGAUGAGCAGGAGGAAGGUGGGGAUGACGUCAAGUCAUCAUGCCCCUUAUACGCUGGGCUACACACGUGCUACAAUGGGUAGUACAGAGAGUCGCUAACCUGCGAGGGGGAGCUAAUCUCAGAAAACUAUUCUCAGUUCGGAUUGUACUCUGCAACUCGAGUACAUGAAGUUGGAAUCGCUAGUAAUCGCAAAUCAGCUAUGUUGCGGUGAAUACGUUCUCGGGUCU
RNAcentral lists this ribosomal RNA (1332 nucleotides) under uncultured bacterium. RNAcentral's name for it is "bacterial SSU rRNA". It matches the Rfam family "Bacterial small subunit ribosomal RNA", at positions 28 to 1381 of the family's 1533-position model. The record is from RNAcentral.